This 333-nucleotide ribosomal RNA is filed under the name Triticum aestivum (bread wheat). RNAcentral describes it as "partial small subunit ribosomal RNA". The record is from RNAcentral. Lineage: Eukaryota; Viridiplantae; Streptophyta; Magnoliopsida; Poales; Poaceae.
AUGAGAGGAAAAACCAAUGUCUUUACACCCAGCACCACCACUAAUGUUUCUAGGUUUUGGAAAGGAGUCAAGUCUAUCAUCCACACUUUGAAUUUUGGAUAUAGAUGGAAAGUAGGAGUGGGGGAUAAAAUCAGGUUCUGGGAAGACACUUGGUUUGGUACUUCCCCACUGGCAGUUCAAUUCUAGCACAUCUACAUGCUCUGUAAUGAGCAGACUAAAAUUAUUAGGGAGGUCCGGGAUGGUGAAACCCUUAAACUGACUUUUAGGAGAAACUUUGACAACAGGCUCAUGGAGCAAUGGUACCAGCUUGUUGAGAUUGCUGGGGGGGAUUAA